GAAUCUUGCGCAAUGGGCGAAAGCCUGACGCAGCCAUGCCGCGUGAAUGAUGAAGGUCUUAGGAUUGUAAAAAUCUUUCACCGGGGAGGAUAAUGACGGUCCCAGGAGAAGAAGCCACGGCUCACUUCGUGACCGCCGCCGCGGUAAUACGAAGGGGGCUCGCGUUGCUCGGAAUUACUGGGCGUAAAGGGCGCGUAGGCGGAUCGUUAAGUCAGAGGUGAAAUCCCGGAGCUCAACUUCGGAAUUGCCUUUGAUACUGGCGAUCUUGAGUGUGAGAGAGGUAUGUGGAACUCCGAGUGUAGAGGUGAAAUUCGUAGAUAUUCGGAAGAACACCAGUGGCGAAGGCAACAUACUGGCUCAUUACUGACGCUGAGGCGCGAAAGCGUGGGGAGCAAACA
Molecule: ribosomal RNA, 398 nt
Filed under: uncultured bacterium
Lineage: Bacteria
Description: partial 16S ribosomal RNA
Rfam family: Bacterial small subunit ribosomal RNA
Source: RNAcentral